RNAcentral lists this ribosomal RNA (468 nucleotides) under uncultured bacterium. Its description in RNAcentral is "partial 16S ribosomal RNA". It matches the Rfam family "Bacterial small subunit ribosomal RNA", at positions 28 to 507 of the family's 1533-position model. The record is from RNAcentral.
GACGAACGCUGGCGGCGUGCUUAACACAUGCAAGUCGAACGGAAAGGCCCUGCUUUUGUGGGGUGCUCGAGUGGCGAACGGGUGAGUAACACGUGAGUAACCUGCCCUUGACUUUGUGAUAACUUCAGGAAACUGGGGCUAAUACCGGCUAGGAGCUCCUGCUGCAUGGUGGUGGUUGGAAAGUUUCGGCGGUUGGGGAUGGACUCGCGGCUUAUCAGCUUGUUGGUGGGGUAGUGGCUUACCCAGGCUUUGACGGGUAGCCGGCCUGAGAGGGUGACCGGCCACAUUGGGCCUGAGGUACGGCCCAGAGUCCUACGGGAGGCAGCAGUGGGGAAUAUUGCACAAUGGGCGGAAGCCUGAUGCAGCAACGCCGGGUGCGGGAUGACGGCUUUCGGGGUGGAAACCGCUUUCGGCUGUGACGAAGCGGGAGUGACGGUACUGGGUGAAGAAGCACCGGCUAACUACGUG